CCGUGCGCGCCCCGCACAGCUGUCGCCACUCUGCUUGGCCCGCUCGCCCCGCACCGCUUGCGCCCCCCACCCAACGCAGCCCGGCUGCCAACCCCCCUGCCUCCGUACCAUGCCGCCACCAUCGUUCGCCGUUGCAGUCCGCCACCGGACGUCGUCGACGCAUCUCCUCAACUGCGCUUGCACCCCUCACCCGCCUCCCCAUGCAUCUUCUCGACUCUGGAGAAUCCCACGGGAGGUGCCCCAUGGCUGUGCCAACGAGGAGCGUCGGAUGCGACGAACAUCCACGACGGGGAUGGCGCCACGAGGGAUGCGUCCAGUGGUGGCCUCCCACAUCACGCCCUAGUAUUUCACCGCUAUCUGUCGUGGGUCUUAGCGAAGAAGACGCUUUGUUUACACAUCAUGUUCCAACCCAAUGAAGAAGAGUGUAUCGAAACUUCAAGAGGAGUCUAUCAUGAAACCGGCGGUUGAUGCUGAGACUGAUAAGGUACUCGGUGCAACCAUGUGUGGACGAGAUGCAGCUGAACUUAUGCAGGGAAUUGUUGUUGCACUCAAGGCUGGAGCUACCAAGAUGACUUUCUAUGGCACCGUAAGUCGAAAGACAUUUGCCUUCACACGACAACGAGAUCUUCAAAUCUCAGUGCCUUUUCAGGUUCUACCAGAGGUACCACGUUGGCUGGCUUUGCAACUUGAGAUUCACCCUUUUUCCGUGGAGGAGUUUGUGAUGAUGCGUACCUUAGCCAGGCGCAUGUGCCUGAUGUUGAAGUCAAAGACAAACUUUUAAGCAAGACCCCUGCAAUGUUUUUGACCAAAAUUAUACUGGUGCAGCGACAUGGACUCUUGUUUCAGUUUGCUAGCCCUGCGCUUGGCAUUUGGCAUUUGAGGUGAUACGGUGUACAUUAUUUGAUUGUGAUAGUAAUAAGUUUAUGUCGAACAGUUUGUACAAAAAUAGUCCCUUGAUGUUCAAAUGUUUUCCCGUUUAGCCUCCAUGUUCAAUAGGGAUUACAUACAUAUGUAUAUGGACGUAUUUUAGAGUGUAUGUCUCGAAAGCAUUUCCAACGAAUAAUAGUUGCAAAAAGAAAAGAAUAAUAGGUGUAGAAGUGCAUUACUGUUUUCUAUUAUUUUUAAUUACAGCCCCGGAGACAAACAUCUGUAUAAUACGGGUUGCGGCCUUGGAGGCUAGAGGUGAAGACUCAGCUAGCUUGAUCUCUACAACUAGCAUGAAGGUAUCUAGAUUUUUGCUAAAAGAUUCGAUGUCUGUUAUAUAUGUUGUGUUCCAAGAAGUACUAAAACAAAGUUGUUUUUGGCUUGUUUAGCGCUUCAUAUUAAAUCCUUACACCGAGCCAUAUGAGUUAUCUUAAGUUUAGAAUGGAUAGCGUGUCUAUUUGGGCAUCAAGAAAGUUUUGAGUUAUCCUACUUUAUGGAACACCAUUGGCUUUGUAUGCAGUUCAAUUUUUUCAUAAAGAUACGUACUGAAACCACAAGUUUGUUUAUGAGGAUCACAAGAUUACAUGCAGGGGACGGAGAGAAGAGAGCAUUACUAAUCUGUACCUGCAUAUACAUGCAACAACAUGCACAUAUGGUAUGUAUAAUCAUAUGGUCUAUCUAUUUGAUCAUGUAUAAAAGAUAGCCAAAUCUCAUAAAACAGUGAGAGAAAAACAUCUAUUAGAUCAUGGCUUGCCAUACUAUUCAAGACAGGAAGCAAUUAAACCUGUAGAAACCAUGAAUGAAAAAUAUCAUAUUCCUAACCUAUGUAUACUGUGUAUCACUUAAUCAUAUGUUUGAUUCGUUUGCCGCAUUGUCACCUCGUUAAUGGAAAGUGGUUCAUGGAAACUCCUUAAUAGUCAGUCGAAGAAAUCUUGUCGCAUGGGCACCUAGAUUGGCCUUGCAGCGGCCUUGUGAUACACGAUUGUUUCAGUCGAAGCCAGGCCUAGGAGUGUAUGGAUGGUCGUUGCCUGCCUCACACCGAGCUUGCUUUGUAAUUGACUAUGCAUAGGUCACUGUGAUUAGGUGCCUCACAGCAUGGCUUACAACGGAAAGGAUGAUAAAUGGGGCCUAGAAAGGGAAGAAGGAUAAGCGGUGACAAGGGUGGGAUAUCGUGCUAAAAUUGAGGGUGUGGACAUGUGCGUCGAAGGAGGUGUUGAGAUAUGCUUACAUUUUCUAGGAGCCUAUCAUAUCUUUUCA
Molecule: long non-coding RNA, 2181 nt
Organism: Hordeum vulgare subsp. vulgare (domesticated barley)
Lineage: Eukaryota; Viridiplantae; Streptophyta; Magnoliopsida; Poales; Poaceae
Exons: 4
Source: RefSeq, a predicted model, not a curated record